RNAcentral lists this ribosomal RNA (328 nucleotides) under Gammarus cf. fossarum 1RAT-RAT. RNAcentral's name for it is "partial large subunit ribosomal RNA". It matches the Rfam family "Bacterial large subunit ribosomal RNA", at positions 2046 to 2602 of the family's 2925-position model. Lineage: Eukaryota; Metazoa; Arthropoda; Malacostraca; Amphipoda; Gammaridae. The record is from RNAcentral.
GUAUAGUUUAACUGGUAAAUUAAAGUCAAGGUAAGAAUUCUUUGAUUCUCUGGGGGACGAUAAGACCCUGGAAGCUUAAAAAAAAUAAAAAUUUUUAGAUAAUGUACUAUAUUUUUACUGGGGCGGUACUAGUACUUUAACUACUAGUUUGUAAAGGCUGAUCCUUAAUAUAAAGAUAAUUCGGUGAAGUUACUCUAGGGAUAACAGUGCGGUAUUUUUGGAAAGGUCUUAUUAAUAAAAAUGUUCGCAACCUCGAUGUUGAAUUAAGAGGUCUAUAUGAAGAAGUAGGCAUAGCAGAGGGUUUGUUCAACCUUUAUACUCUUACAUG